CCCCUGUGAACAUACCACUUGUUGCCUCGGCGGAUCAGCCCGCUCCCGGUAAAACGGGACGGCCCGCCAGAGGACCCCUAAACUCUGUUUCUAUAUGUAACUUCUGAGUAAAACCAUAAAUAAAUCAAAACUUUCAACAACGGAUCUCUUGGUUCUGGCAUCGAUGAAGAACGCAGCAAAAUGCGAUAAGUAAUGUGAAUUGCAGAAUUCAGUGAAUCAUCGAAUCUUUGAACGCACAUUGCGCCCGCCAGUAUUCUGGCGGGCAUGCCUGUUCGAGCGUCAUUUCAACCCUCAAGCACAGCUUGGUGUUGGGACUCGCGUUAAUUCGCGUUCCUCAAAUUGAUUGGCGGUCACGUCGAGCUUCCAUAGCGUAGUAGUAAAACCCUCGUUACUGGUAAUCGUCGCGGCCACGCCGUUAAACCCCAACUUCUGAAUGUUGACCUCGGAUCAGGUAGGAAUACCCGCUGAACUUAAGCAUAUCAAU
This 484-nucleotide ribosomal RNA is filed under the name Fusarium oxysporum f. sp. cubense. RNAcentral's name for it is "eukaryotic LSU rRNA". The stretch from base 129 to 282 matches the Rfam family "5.8S ribosomal RNA". The record is from RNAcentral. Lineage: Eukaryota; Fungi; Ascomycota; Sordariomycetes; Hypocreales; Nectriaceae.